This is a long non-coding RNA of Oncorhynchus tshawytscha (Chinook salmon), 482 nucleotides long. NCBI's taxonomy places the organism in Eukaryota, Metazoa, Chordata, Actinopteri, Salmoniformes, Salmonidae. The record is from Ensembl.
CCCUUAUUGAAGUAGGAUACAUGACUACCUCUUCCGUUCAUCAGUUAGCCCCUUACUGAGGUAGGAUCCAGGCCUACCUCUUCUGUUCAUCAGUUAGCCCCUUAUUGAAGUAGGAUACAUGACUACCUCUUCCGUUCAUCAGUUAGCCCCUUAUUGAGGUAGGAUUCAGGCCUACCUCUUCCGUUCAUCAGUUAGCCCCUUACUGAGGUAGGAUCCAGGCCUACCUCUUCUGUUCAUCAGUUAGCCCCUUAUUGAAGUAGGAUACAUGACUACCUCUUCCGUUCAUCAGUUAGCCCCUUAUUGAGGUAGGAUACAAGACUACCUCUUCCGUUCAUCAGUUAGCCCCUUAUUGAGGUAGGAUCCAGGCCUACCUCUUCCGUUCAUCAGUUAGCCCCUAUUGAGGUAGGAUCCAGGCCUACCUCUUCCGUUCAUCAGUUAGCCCCUUAUUGAGGUAGGAUACAAGACUACCUCUUCCGUUCAUC